This 727-nucleotide ribosomal RNA is filed under the name Espadarana prosoblepon (emerald glass frog). RNAcentral's name for it is "partial large subunit ribosomal RNA". It matches the Rfam family "Bacterial large subunit ribosomal RNA", at positions 1514 to 2527 of the family's 2925-position model. The record is from RNAcentral. Lineage: Eukaryota; Metazoa; Chordata; Amphibia; Anura; Centrolenidae.
UAACAAGAAGAAGAACUUCUCAUAUAAUGCAAGUGUAAAUCAGAUAGGACACCCCACUGAUAAUUAACACCUAUGAAUANAAAAUAGCAANCCUAACAAGAAAACCCUACUNAANNCCCANUGUGUUAAACUAACACCAGAGCAUUACGAGAAAGAUUAAAAGAAAGAGAAGGAACUCGGCAAANUAUUAACCUCGCCUGUUUACCAAAAACAUCGCCUCCUGAAUNNNAAAUAUAAGAGGUCCAGCCUGCCCAGUGACUUUGUUCAACGGCCGCGGUAUCCUAACCGUGCGAAGGUAGCGUAAUCACUUGUUCUUUAAAUGAGGACUAGUAUGAAUGGCACCACGAAGGUUAUACUGUCUCCUCUUUUUAAUCAGUGAAACUAAUCUCCCCGUGAAGAAGCGGGAAUAAACAUAUAAGACGAGAAGACCCUAUGGAGCUUUAAACUAUNGUAACACUUGCACCACCACAACACAAAUUUCAGAAAAAUCNNNNUNCUCCAACGCAUGCAAGNCUUAUUACCAGUUUUAGGUUGGGGUGACCGCGGAGCAAAAAACAACCUCCACAUUGAAAGGANANCUUNACUCCUUAGCCAAGAGCCACACCUCCCCGCACCAUUACAAUGACAUUAAUUGACCCAANUAUUUUGAUCAACGAACCAAGUUACCCUAGGGAUAACAGCGCAAUCCAUUUCAAGAGCUCCUAUCGACAAAUGGGUUUACGACCUC